GGAGGGUUGCGCCGAAUGGUAAGGCACUAGUCUUGAAAACUAGGGCUCCGAAAGGGGCUUGCAGGUUCGAGUCCUGCACCCUCCGCCA
RNAcentral lists this transfer RNA (88 nucleotides) under Candidatus Yanofskybacteria bacterium RIFCSPHIGHO2_01_FULL_48_25b. Its description in RNAcentral is "tRNA-Ser". It matches the Rfam family "tRNA". From Rfam's summary of the family: Transfer RNA (tRNA) molecules are approximately 80 nucleotides in length. Their secondary structure includes four short double-helical elements and three loops (D, anti-codon, and T loops). Further hydrogen bonds mediate the characteristic L-shaped molecular structure. tRNAs have two regions of fundamental functional importance: the anti-codon, which is responsible for specific mRNA codon recognition, and the 3' end, to which the tRNAs corresponding amino acid is attached (by aminoacyl-tRNA synthetases). tRNAs cope with the degeneracy of the genetic code in two manners: having more than one tRNA (with a specific anti-codon) for a particular amino acid; and 'wobble' base-pairing, i.e. permitting non-standard base-pairing at the 3rd anti-codon position. The record is from RNAcentral. Lineage: Bacteria; Candidatus Yanofskyibacteriota.